GGUCAGCAGUUUGUAUCAUUGUCAAGGGAACACCUGGAAAAAGGGGAAUGAAGACCACAUCUCCCUCCCUUUUGAGGAACCAUGAUGCUGGCUCGCGAGAUGGCUGAGAUGGAAAGAGCCAGGCUUGGAAACCAGAGACCUGGCUGAGCAUGCGGACGCUACCCUCUCCCAGCUGCAGGGCCUGAGCCCUUCUCCAGGCUCAGGUUUGCUUACCUGGUGGGCUCACACCUGUCCUGCCUGCUUCAUGAGGAAGUCGAUAAAUACAGUUCUUCAACCCCUGUGAGACUUGGUCCUCCAUCAAGUGCAAAUGUACAUUAAGGAGGGACCCCUGGCUGGUGGUGACCUACUACUACAUCCUACUUGGAAUGAAGGCUCAACAUCUUGCUUUAUAAGCUGUUUUUCCUAUUAAUAUAUCAGAAACAUUUUCCUUUUAACAAAUUUGUGCAAGAAUUGCUGCAUUGUGGCUUACUGAUGGGCACUACGUAUUGGAUUUAAGAAAAUACGUCAGUUACCGUUUACAGGUGGCAUGAUGUCAUUUUGUUAUUAGGCACCACCAUGGGGACUGCAUGUUGUCAAUGGACCCACUAUGCUCAUGAUGCUCCUUAUCGGGUUCUCCCCUGUGCAGCUCCCAGGCCCUGCUCCUGGGGCAGUCGCGUGGGGCCCCUCACCAUCUGACGGCUGUCACCGCAGGCCAGGAUGUGCAUUCUCAACAGUCCAGGCAUCGAGGGCUGCUCCUGCAGUAUGAUGGAUACUGUAGCUGUUUGCUUUUGAAAAAGAAAGACCUGUGGCGAGAGCAUUUCCUUCUCGAAGUAAA
Molecule: long non-coding RNA, 814 nt
Organism: Gorilla gorilla gorilla (western lowland gorilla)
Lineage: Eukaryota; Metazoa; Chordata; Mammalia; Primates; Hominidae
Exons: 6
Source: RefSeq, a predicted model, not a curated record